Molecule: transfer RNA, 64 nt
Filed under: Cavia porcellus (domestic guinea pig)
Lineage: Eukaryota; Metazoa; Chordata; Mammalia; Rodentia; Caviidae
Rfam family: tRNA
About the family: Transfer RNA (tRNA) molecules are approximately 80 nucleotides in length. Their secondary structure includes four short double-helical elements and three loops (D, anti-codon, and T loops).
Source: Rfam by way of RNAcentral
AGGGAUUUAGCUUAGUGGCUUAAGCACUUGCCUGGUAGGCAUGAGGUCAUGAGUUCAAUCCCUG